AGCAGCCGCGGUAAUUCCAGCUCCAAUAGCGUAUAUUAAAGUUGUUGCAGUUAAAAAGCUCGUAGUUGAAUUUCGGGAUCAGUACGCUGGUCGUGCCUUUGGUAUGUACUGGUGUCACUGAUUCCUCCCUUCUGAAGAACCGUUAUGCCAUUUAUUUGGUGUGGCGGGAAAUCAGGACUGUUACUUUGAAAAAAUUAGAGUGUUUAAAGCAGGCUCGCGCUUGAAUACAUUAGCAUGGAAUAAUGAAAUAGGACGUUUGAUCUUAUUUUGUUGGUUUCUAGGAUCGACGUAAUGAUUAAUAGGGAUAGUUGGGGGCAUUAGUAUUCAAUUGUCAGAGGUGAAAUUCUUGGAUUUAUUGAAGACUAACUACUGCGAAAGCAUUUGCCAAGGAUGUUUUCAUUAAUCAAGAACGAAAGUUAGGGGAUCGAAGACGAUCAGAUACCGUCGUAGUCUUAACCAUAAACUAUGCCGACUAGGGAUCGGAUGAUGUAAUUUUUAAUGACUCAUU
This 508-nucleotide ribosomal RNA is filed under the name uncultured Glomus. Its description in RNAcentral is "SSU rRNA". It matches the Rfam family "Eukaryotic small subunit ribosomal RNA", at positions 569 to 1080 of the family's 1831-position model. The record is from RNAcentral. Lineage: Eukaryota; Fungi; Glomeromycota; Glomeromycetes; Glomerales; Glomeraceae.